CAGCCAAGGGUGUCUGCAUCGGACAACACUCAACUCGGGAUUGGCACCCAGCCAGUGCCCUACACUAUACAAGAUGCCACUGUAGGGACAGGGAUGACCUCUAGCAAGGUGACCCUCAGUGGGCCAGAGGGGGCUUCUGAAGAGAAUUUCUCUAGCUUCUUGGUGUUUCCUGCCUGCUACUUUCAAACAAGGGUCCCAUUUUUAAUGUUUUCCCAGUAAUACCUUAUGAAUGUUAUUGCAAAGGCACGCCCCUCCUGUAGAUCCCAGUUUCUCUUUCUGCCAAAAAGGGGGCAGACCUGCAGCGGGCUAAAUCAACACCACAGGCCCCGUGAUCAAUAUAUGUGAUGAGGACAUUACAUCCUGGUGUUGUUGCCCCAAGUCUUGACGUGAAUCUGACCACAAGGACAAUUCGGACAACCUGAAAUGGUGACGCAUUCUACAAAAUAAACAUCAAUGUCAUGAAAGACAAAGACUCAAGAUUUUCUGCUUAAUGGAGACUAAAGAGAUGCGACAACAGAAUGCCAGGCAUGAUCUUGGAUAUUCUUUUGGCUCAAACAGUCUUAGGACAAUUGAAAAAACGUGAAUGAGGUCUGUAGCUAAUAGAAUUGUGUCAAUGCCACAUCCUUGGUUUUGUUAAUUGCAUUGUGGUUACAGAAGAGAAUCCCUUUGUUUUCAGGAAAUGCACACAGCAGUAUUUAAUAGUAAAGGCACAUCUUGUCUGCAACUUCCUCUCUGUGUG
Molecule: long non-coding RNA, 739 nt
Filed under: Homo sapiens (human)
Lineage: Eukaryota; Metazoa; Chordata; Mammalia; Primates; Hominidae
Description: HSALNT0387650
Source: RNAcentral